AUGAAGAGCUUUGAGAGACUAGUCAAGGACCAUAUCACCUCCACCCUAUCUGACACCCUAGACCCACUCCAAUUUGCUUACCGCCCCAAUAGGUCCACAGACGACGCAAUCGCAAUCACACUGCACACUGCCCUAACCCCUUUGGACAAGAGGAAUAUCUAUGUAAGUAUGCUGUUCAUCGAUUACAGCUCAGCAUUUAACACCAUAGUACCCUCCAAACUCGUCAUUAAGCUCGAGACCCUGGGUCUCGACCCCGCCCUGUGCAACUGGGUCCUGGACUUUCUGACGGGCCGCCCCCAGGUGGUGAGGGUAGGUAACAACAUCUCCACCCCGCUGAUCCUCAACACUGGGGCCCCACAAGGGUGCGUUCUCAGCCCUCUCCUGUACUCCCUGUUCACCCAUGACUGUGUGGCCAUGCACGCCUCCAACUCAAUCAUCAAGUUUGCAGACGAUACUACAGUGGUAGGCUUGAUUACCAACAACGACAAGACGGCCUACAGGGAGGAGGUGAUGGCCCUCGGAGUGUGGUGUCAGGAAAAUAACCUCACACUCAAUGUCAACAAAACAAAGGAGAUGAUCGUGGACUUCAGGAAACAGCAGAGGGAACAGCCCCCUAUCCACAUUGACAGGACAGCAGUGGAGAGCGUGGAAAGUUUUAAGUUCCUUGGCGUACACAUCACAGACAAACUGAAAUGGUCCACCCACACAGACACCGUGGCGAAGAAGGAGCAGCAGCGCCUCUUCAAACUCAGGAGGCUGAAGAAAUUCGUCUCGUCACCAAAAACACUCACAAACUUUUACAGUUGCACAAUCGAGAGCAUCUUGUCGUGCUGUAUCACCGCCUGGUACGGCAACUGCUCCGCCCAUAACCGUAAGGCUCUCCAGAGGGUAGUGAGGUCUGCACAACGCAUCACCGGAGGCAAACUAGCUGCGCUCCAGGACACCUACACCCCCCGAUGUCACAGGAAGGCCAAAAAGAUCAGCAAGGACAACAACCACCCGAGCCACUGCCUGUUCACCGCGCUAUCAUCCAGAAGGCGAGGUCAGUACAGGUGCAUCAAAGCGGGGACCGAGAGACUGAAAAACUCAAGGCCAUCAGACUGUUAA
Molecule: long non-coding RNA, 1107 nt
Filed under: Oncorhynchus mykiss (rainbow trout)
Lineage: Eukaryota; Metazoa; Chordata; Actinopteri; Salmoniformes; Salmonidae
Description: lncRNA (ENSOMYG00000069380.1)
Source: RNAcentral